AUUGAACGCCGGCGGCAGGCCUAACACAUGCAAGUCGAGCGGGGUUUUCGGACCUAGCGGCGGACGGGUGAGUAAUGCGUAGGAAGCUGCCCGAUAGAGGGGGAUACCAGUUGGAAACGACUGUUAAUACCGCAUAAUGUCUACGGACCAAAGUGUGGGACCUUCGGGCCACAUGCUAUCGGAUGCGCCUACGUGGGAUU
RNAcentral lists this ribosomal RNA (200 nucleotides) under uncultured bacterium. RNAcentral describes it as "partial 16S ribosomal RNA". It matches the Rfam family "Bacterial small subunit ribosomal RNA", at positions 30 to 242 of the family's 1533-position model. The record is from RNAcentral.